CGGUCGCAUCCUAAACGGACAUGUAGUGUGCUGCGUUUGGUCCGGGAACUGUCGCGUUUACGCAUUAAUACGAAGUGAGCGUAAGAAGGGAUGGUGGGAGUGAUUUGGGACACGGCAAACGUCAUGUUCACUCCGAGCUCGAGAUGCGAACUGUAACGUGGAGUGUUUGGGUUCCGUUAGUUUUCUGCUCGGCGUUUGUUGAAGGACAACAAAGGCCGGUGUAUUCAUGUGGUGGAAACUUGACUGGAACCUCUGGCCUCAUGGGGAGUCAGGGAUACCCCGGAGUUUACCCCCCAAACACCAAAUGCGUGUGGAGAAUCACGGUGCCUCAGGGAAAAGUGGUGUCCCUCACCUUCCACUCCCUUGACCUUGAGAGCGACUCACUUUGUCGCUACGAUUACGUGGAUGUGUAUGACGGGUUUGUUAAAAGCCAGCGGCUCGGACGCUUCUGUGGUAUGGCCCGGCCUGGAGCACUGAUCUCCAACCACAACAGGAUGCUAGUAGUGAUGGUUUCGGAUGCCAACACGGCUGGAAGCGGCUUCCUGGCCGGAUACAGCGCCGUUCAGCCCAAUGCCAAGGGGGAGCGAUACUGCGGCGGACUCUUCGAAAAACCCUCAGGAAGCUUCAUGACCCCUAACUGGCCCGACAGAGAUUAUCCUCCAGGGGUGACCUGCUCGUGGCAUAUUGUAGCACCUGAGCACCAGGUAAUAGAGCUGACGUUCGAGAAGUUUGACGUGGAGAGAGAUAACUACUGCCGCUACGAUCACAUGGUCGUUUACAACGGCGGUGAACCGAGCGACGCGAGCAGGAUCGGGAAGUUCUGCGGCGACAGCCCUCCUGCGCCGAUCUUCUCCGAGGGCAGCCACCUCUUAAUCCAGUUCGUCUCUGAUCUUAGCCUCACCGCCGACGGAUUCAUCUGCCAUUACACGUUCCAGCCAAAGAACUUCACCAUCACAGGUUACCCGGUUCCUGUUACCGCGGCCGCUCCCACCCCUGCACGGCCCGUCGCACUGACGUAUUCUGAAGCUCUCUGCAAGCAGAAGUGCAAGAGGAUCGGAACAAUCGAAAGUCAUUACUGCUUAAGCAACUUUGUGCUGACGGGAACGCUCGUCUCCGCUGUCAUGAAGGAACACAGCGUGCUCGCCACCUUCUCCAUCACCAACGUGUACAAGGAAGGAAACCUGUCCAUCCAGCAGGCUGGAAAGAGCAUGAGUGCGAAAGUCAUGAUCCUGUGUAAGAAAUGCCCUUUAGUCAGGAGAGCCAUGAAAGUCAUUUCGAUUCAGGAAAGACUACAGACCGACUCACAUUCAUGCCAGACAUGUCGACGAUGACCUGCAUCUUGUCGUCAUCUCCACUAGGAGCGAUCUCAUUCAACAAGUGAAACUUUAAGGUGAUAGUUCACCCAGCGCAGCAGCAGCUCCUCAGGGGACAGAGACAACAGAUGGUCCAAGUCCUCACCCUCGCCGAGUAGGGCAAUCAGGGCUGCACAAGCAGACAAGCAGAUUAUUAGCCCUGAGAUCAGUGAAAUGUCUUUCUUAAAAAAGAAACAUAUUUUUAUUGGCUUCAUACAAUUGACCUCAUACAACACUCAUUUGACCUCAACUGGGAAUGCCAGGAAUGUGAGUAGGGAGAAAAGUACGGGCUCUGAAAACCUACUAAACCUCAGUUUCAUACUGUACUAGACGAAUGACAUGUGUCUGACCUUCAUUGCUUGAGAUCUCUAUGUUGGCGAACAGGCCAAUCUUAAUGAUCUGCCAGAGCAGCCCAAGCACCAGGUGAGGAGUUCCAGCGAUCAUGUCUUGAGCAUCGAUGUUUACCACCAUACAACCGAUGGCUGAGGCGGAGUUAAGAGCCAGUAUCAAAUUCUCCUAGAAGACAAGAAAGACAGACGGGUUUGUCUUUCCGUGAAUAAAUAUGACACAAUUAUUGUUCAAAGCUUUGAAUAAGAAAUGGUGUAAGAAUUCAUGGGAAAUCCUCAAGGUGUCUCUUGAGCACAUCAUUUCUAACACUGGCAGCACAAAGCACUUGAAAGCUUAAGAAGUAAAGCAACACACCCGUGAAACCAGCACUUAAACCACUUUGUCCAGUCAAUUUCCAUAUGGAAAUCUCUUAUUGAGAAGGCAUCAGAUGCCCUUAAAGCAGCAGGCUUUACUUACAGUAGGAAAAGGUGUGAAAGAUGGACCACACACAGAUAACCACAUAUGUUAUCUGUGUUUUUUUUUUAAAUAAAAGUUUUCCUUUCACUGUCAAAACCUUGAGAUGUUUUCAUCACACAACCACCAUAGCUCGUUUCUUGGCAUAUGUCAUUUUAUAUCUGUAAAGCAAAAUUUGAAACCUAGUUCUAGUUUGACAGAGCAGGACUUUGUUGAUCUAAGCAUGGCAACUCUGUAGAUUCAGAUCAAAUCAGAGACUUUGGUUCCUCGAGAGCCGUCCUGAGGUCAUCCUGACUGUUAUGUGCUUGUUUCAUUCUUCACUUAGCCACUUUAACGCAACAAAAUCGAGAGCUCAUGAAAAAAGGAUGAAGUGUUGACUGGCCUUCAGCACAUAAAGCUGGAUUUGAUAGCAGCAAUAUGGCUGUGUCUUAUUUUGAUCCAACCAAGCACGGAGAGACAAUUUUGGACGCAAGCCCAGUAUGUCUUCCUGCUUGCUGCUGUACUGGCACAAAGUGACUCAGAUGGAAAGCUGGAUGUACUUGCGUAUGUCAGCAAGGCUCUGUCACCUGUUGAACAGCAAUAUUUGCAGACAGAAAGGCUCUGGCAGGGAUUUGGGGAUGUCUUCAUUUCCCAGCUAAAUUUGCUUGCUGGCGCAUUUACACUGAGCGCUGACUACAAAUCCCUGGGAUUGGAAUUCAACAAUCCGUCAUCCUGUCCUCCUUCAUAACUGAAAUGCUUUACAGUUAAACUGCAAUAUUACAACUCUGCAGGUCCUGGGAAGCGGGCCAACUACAUCUCUAGGCACAGAAACAGCGAUAUUCAUGCCACCGAACAGGCUGUAGAUCAUGUACGCUUCAGACACAACAACAACGACACACCAGGCACUAUUGCAGAGUAUUUUACAAAGACUUAUGAAGGCCCAUUGAUAUAAAUGUUGUUGC
This is an RNA transcript of Tachysurus fulvidraco (yellow catfish), 3094 nucleotides long. It is a transcript of the gene named procollagen C-endopeptidase enhancer 2a, with no coding region annotated. Lineage: Eukaryota; Metazoa; Chordata; Actinopteri; Siluriformes; Bagridae. The transcript is spliced from 10 exons. The record is from RefSeq and is a predicted model, not a curated record.